Long non-coding RNA from Oncorhynchus tshawytscha (Chinook salmon), 508 nucleotides. The record is from Ensembl. NCBI's taxonomy places the organism in Eukaryota, Metazoa, Chordata, Actinopteri, Salmoniformes, Salmonidae.
CCAGACUCCCAUCUACAGUGUGCCUGGUCUUUGUACGAACUUAAAGUCAAGAUCGCCAUCAUCUGCUACGAUGGAAACAGUACUGACGUAUACAAAGCCAGAGACCUUGCACAGAAAUGGCUCAGACACAUAUUACCAUCCAACAAAUAUCAUUUGUACAGAGUCUCUGUGUCUGUGUCAACCAGUGUCGGUGAGACACAUGAGGACGGGGCCCAUGACAAACCAAUAUUGCGGGCUGAAUUUGAUGCAAACCGCUUUGACUGCCUGGUCCACCUCAACGUGAUCCCCAGCUCUGAUGUCAGUACAGUGCAGAAACAGGUCUCUCAGUUGCUGAACACACCUCACAACGUCGGAUAUCUCACGCUAAUGGCUAACCCCAAGAGCAUCCAAGUGAACGCUGUAGAGGACUUCCCCCCUGCCACAGUCAAUCCUCCCAUUGUCAUGGCCACUGGAACCUCUUCUGACACAGCCACAGACCUUAUUGUCACGACUGGUGGCGAACUCUCAG